UUUAUUAACCUAGCCCCAGCUACCAACAAACAGCUGCUGCGAAACCUUCUGCAGGUUUCCAACAAAAGCCCCUGUUUAUGUAACGUAUUCUCAACUCUUAGUCAUCAAACUUUUAUCUCAUCUGAAAGAGAGGCCAUUCGUAGCUUGGAAAAUGAGCCAAAAAUGAGUUGAUAAUUGGGGGUGAUUCCUCUCAACUGACUUUUAACCAUAAGUGGGGGUGGGGGGGUAGUAAUGGUAAAGAAAACAAACUUUUGGAAAUCUGCAAUGAGGUGUCUGAAUCAACAAGAACGCCUUAAAAUAAAAAAUAAACAAACGUGCUAGAGGGCCCUGGGACCGCAGUUCUUAGUUACACAUCUGUUCUGCAGCGGGACGAGGAAGUUAAUCGCUUCCCCGUGACACGCAUGCAUUUUGUGAGACACUGCACUGUACCAGUUAAUAAUGAUCUACGUUCUGUUGACACAAGAUGUUUACAUAAAUAAAAAUCUAAAUGAUACAGCUCAUAACAAAGCGUAUUCUGUUAAAAGGCUGGAUGGCGGGAGUAGUCAUUUUCCCGGGUAAAAAUUAUUGGGAUGAGCUUAUGGUAGCAUGAAAAGCUCAGUCAAUAGAGGGGCUUGUGCAGGCAAAUUGUUUUCAAGUGUCUAUACUUCAAAGAAAGGGUAGGCUUGGCUGCUCGAAUUGCUAAUAGAGUGGCAUUGGAAUUGGUACAGAAAGCAACGGAGACUGAUGGCCAAUCCCUGCCCGUAAUUGACAAUAUUAGCAAUUUUCCAUUUCAGCCUGUCUGUUCGGUCUUUACCGUCUGUAAUGACAAAUGCAGAAAGGGCAUAAGCAACCUCGUGAGGCUCUGCUAUGAACAUUAAAAAUCUUCCUGCUCUUUGCUGAGUGCACCCUUGGUAACCAGAUAUCCAACCAAUGGCAUUAUGGAAACGGUUUAUUCUUCCCAAACUAUAGAAUGUGAUUAGAUUUCCUCCAAAGAAUCCAGAUGACACCUAGAGCAGGCGCCCAGCACUAAGAUUCAGGGGCACUGUCCAAAGAAAGCUGACAGCAAGGUCUUGUUCAAGCCCUGAAACCACCCAAAGAAAAGUCUGAAACCCAGGACACCCUGAAAUAAUUUUGCUAUUUUCCACAUAUCUGGGGGAAAAGAACAAAGUGGUUGACGACCUUUCUUUCAUUUUUAAACUUCCCCUCUCACUGCUUUUUCUGCCAUUCUAUCUGGCUUUAGGAACAGAACAAAAACAGUAUGGAAAUAUCUCAGAAAACUAAAUCUAGAACUAGCCUCUGACCCAGCAAUCCCACUCCUGGGCAUAUAUCCAGACAAAACUUGCAUUCAAAAAGACACAUGCACCCCUACAUUCACUGCAGCACUAUUCACAAGAGCCAAGACAUGGAAACAGCCUAAAUGCCCAUCGACAGAUGAAUGGAUUAAGACGAUGUGGUACAUCUACACAAUGGAACACGACUCAGCCACUAAAAAGAGCAAAAUAAUGCCACUUGCAGCAGCGUGGAUGCAACUAGAGACUCUCAGGCUAAGUGAAGUAGGUCCAAAAGAGAGAGACAAAUACCAUAUGAUUUCACUUAUUUCUGGAAUCUAGUAUACGGCACAAAUGAACCUAUCUACAGAAAAGAAACAAACUCAUGGACUUGGAGACCAGACUUGUGGUUCCGGGGGGUGGGGAGGGAUCGAGAAGGACUGGAAAUUUGGGGUGAGUAGAUGCAAACUAUUGCCUUAGGAGCACAUAAGUGAUGAGAUCCUGCUGUAGAGCCCUGGGAACUGUAUCUAGUCACUUGUGAUGGAACAUGACGGAGGAUGAUGUGAGAAAGAGAAUGUAUAUAUAUCUGUGUGUGUGUGUGUGUGUGUGUGUGACUGGGUCGCUGUGCUGUACAGCAGAAAUUGACAGAAUGCUGUAAAUCAACUAUAAUGGAAAGAAUAAAAAUCUUACAAAAAAAAAAAAAAAAGAGAGAGAACAAAAACGACAAUAUUGACACUGAAGUCCAGGAGAACACCACGUGUCCUGUGUACUAAUUUUUCCUUUUUGGGUGAUGAUAAUGACGGGCCAGGGAAGACAAUUCCUUUUUUUCUGACCACUCGACAUCUUUAGUCAAUGAGCCCAACAUAAAAGGGCAUGAUUGGAUAAGAAAUUAGAUCUCAACCUAACAGGCUUAACCCUUUCCUCACCCUUGCCGACUUCUGGCUUGCUUUCUAGAACUUCAGGUAACAGGGUCUUCUCUUAGGCCUUUGAGUACAUAGCAGGCACUCAGCAAAUGCCUGUUGAUCACGGGUCAUGGUAAUCCACAGAAGAAAGGGAAAAUGGCCCGAACCCAGAGUCAGUGAUGUAAAAAUAAAUACUCAUUUUAUAGGGUAAAAUUCUUUUUUUAGAGGUGGAAUGUGUGAUUUAUUUAUUUAUUUAUUUUGCUUUUUAGAGCCACACCCAUGGCAUAUGGAGGUUCCCAGGCUAGGGGUUGAAUUGGAGCUGCAGCUGCCAGCCUAAGACACAGCCACAGAAACAUGGGGUCCAAGCCACGUCGGUGACCUACACCAUAGCUCGCGGCAACACCAGAUCCUUAACCCACUGAGCGAGGCCAGGGAUCGAACCCGAAACCUCAUGGUUCCUUGUGGGAUUCAUUUCCGCUGGACCUAUUUCAGUCAAGGUACACCAGAAUUUGUGGACUGGGAAGCUUCUUGGGAAUUCAACCCAUCUUCAGAUGGGAAAGACUUUGUUCCUAGAAGAGGCCCCACAAAGCUAAUGCCACCAUUCCCUAAAAAAGAAAGUUUGGGUGUUUCCUUUGUGACUCAGUGGUUAACAACCUCAACUAGGAUCCACAAGGAUGUGGGUUCGAUCCCUGGCCUUGCUCACUGGGUUAAGGAUCCAGCGUUGCUGUGGCUGUGGCGUAGGUCGGCACACGCAGCUCCCAUUCGACCCUGAGCCUGGGAACUUCCAUAUGCCGAAGGUACAACCCUAAAAA
This 2961-nucleotide long non-coding RNA is filed under the name Sus scrofa (pig). RNAcentral's name for it is "lncRNA (ENSSSCG00065069660.1)". The record is from RNAcentral. Lineage: Eukaryota; Metazoa; Chordata; Mammalia; Artiodactyla; Suidae.